Molecule: ribosomal RNA, 475 nt
Filed under: uncultured bacterium
Lineage: Bacteria
Description: bacterial SSU rRNA
Rfam family: Bacterial small subunit ribosomal RNA
Source: RNAcentral
AUUGAACGCUGGCGGCGUGGCUAAAGCAUGCAAGUCGAGCGAACCCGCAAGGGUGAGCGGCGGACGGGUUAGUAAUACGAUCGAACGUGCCCUGAGGCGGGGGAUAGGCGUGGGAAACUGCGCGUAAUACCCCAUGAUCUCUCCGGAGCAAAGGUUUACCACCUUGGGAUCGGCGAUCGUCCUAUCAGGUAGUUGGCGGGGUAAUGGCCCACCAAGCCUAUGACGGGUAGCAGGUGUGAGAGCACGACCUGCAACAUCGGGACUGAGACACUGCCCGGACUCCUACGGGAGGCUGCAGCGACGAAUCUUCCGCAAUGGGCGCAAGCCUGACGGAGCGACGCCGCGUGUGGGAUGAAGGUCUUCGGAUUGUAAACCCCUUUCGGGAGGGAAGAUGGAGCGAGCAAUCGUUCGGACGGUACCUCCAGAAGCAGCCACGGCCAACUUCGUGCCAGCAGCCGCGGUAAGUCUCGCGUGA